UACGUAGGGGCUAGCGUUAUCCGGAUUUACUGGGCGUAAAGGGUGCGUAGGCGGUCUUUCAAGUCAGGAGUGAAAGGCUACGGCUCAACCGUAGUAAGCUCUUGAAACUGUAAGACUUGAGUGCAGGAGAGGUAAGUGGAAUUCCUAGUGUAGCGGUGAAAUGCGUAGAUAUUAGGAGGAACACCAGUGGCGAAGGCGACUUACUGGACUGUAACUGACGCUGAGUCACGAAAGCGUGGGUAGCAAACAGGAUUAGAUACCCUGGUAGUCCCUGA
This 275-nucleotide ribosomal RNA is filed under the name uncultured prokaryote. RNAcentral describes it as "partial 16S ribosomal RNA". It matches the Rfam family "Bacterial small subunit ribosomal RNA", at positions 524 to 800 of the family's 1533-position model. The record is from RNAcentral.